UAAUCGGAAUUACUGGGCGUAAAGGGUGCGCAGGCGGCGCCAUAAGACAGAUGUGAAAUCCCCGGGCUCAACCUGGGAACUGCGUUUGUGACUGUGGUGCUUGAGUGCGGCAGAGGGGGGUGGAAUUCCACGUGUAGCAGUGAAAUGCGUAGAGAUGUGGAGGAACACCGAUGGCGAAGGCAGCCCCCUGGGUCGACACUGACGCUCAUGCACGAAAGCGUGGGGAGCAAACAGGAUUAGAUACCCAGGUAGUCCACGCCCUAAACGAUGCGAACUAGGUGUUGGGGAAGGAGACUUCUUUAGUACCGUAGCUAACGCGUGAAGUUCGCCGCCUGGGGAGUACGGUCGCAAGAUUAAAACUCAAAGGAAUUGACGGGGACCCGCACAAGCGGUGGAUGAUGUGGAUUAAUUCGAUGCAACGCGAAAAACCUUACCUACCCUUGACAUGUCCGGAACCCUGGUGAGAGCUGGGGGUGCCCGAAAGGGAAUCGGAACACAGGUGCUGCAUGGCUGUCGUCAGCUCGUGUCGUGAGAUGUUGGGUUAAGUCCCGUAACGAGCGCAACCCUUGUCAUUAAUUGCCAUCAUUUGGUUGGGCACUUUAAUGAGACUGCCGGUGACAAACCGGAGGAAGGUGGGGAUGACGUCAAGUCCUCAUGGCCCUUAUGGGUAGGGCUUCACACGUCAUACAAUGGUCGGUACAGAGGGUUGCCAACCCGCGAGGGGGAGCCAAUCCCAGAAAGCCGAUCGUAGUCCGGAUCGGAGUCUGCAACUCGACUCCGUGAAGUCGGAAUCGCUAGUA
Molecule: ribosomal RNA, 800 nt
Filed under: uncultured Rhodocyclaceae bacterium
Lineage: Bacteria; Pseudomonadati; Pseudomonadota; Betaproteobacteria; Rhodocyclales; Rhodocyclaceae
Description: bacterial SSU rRNA
Rfam family: Bacterial small subunit ribosomal RNA
Source: RNAcentral